GUGCCAGCAGCCGCGGUAAAACGUAGGUCCCGAGCGUUGUUCGGAUUCACUGGGUGUAAAGGGCGCGUAGGUGGUUGUCUGUGUCUCAUGUGAAAACUCAGGGCUCAACUCUGAGAUUGCGUGGGAAACUAGGCAGCUAGAGGACGGUAGAGGGGAGUGGAAUUCCCGGUGUAGCGGUGAAAUGCGUAGAGAUCGGGAGGAACACCAGUGGUGAAGACGGCUCUCUGGACUGUCCCUGACACUGAGGAGCGAAAGCCAGGGGAGCAAACCGGAUUAGAUACCCGGGUAGUCCUAGCCGUAAACGAUGGGUGCUAGGUGUUGGGGGGUAAAGACCCUUCAGUGCCGAAGCCAACGCGAUAAGCAUCCCACCUGGGGAGUACGGCCGCAAGGUUGAAACUCAAAUGAAUUGACGG
This 413-nucleotide ribosomal RNA is filed under the name uncultured bacterium. RNAcentral describes it as "bacterial SSU rRNA". It matches the Rfam family "Bacterial small subunit ribosomal RNA", at positions 505 to 916 of the family's 1533-position model. The record is from RNAcentral.